RNAcentral lists this ribosomal RNA (492 nucleotides) under uncultured bacterium. RNAcentral describes it as "partial 16S ribosomal RNA". It matches the Rfam family "Bacterial small subunit ribosomal RNA", at positions 29 to 507 of the family's 1533-position model. The record is from RNAcentral.
AGUGAACGCUGGCGGUAGGCCUAACACAUGCCAGUCGAACGGCAGCACAGUAAGAGCUUGCUCUUACGGGUGGCGAGUGGCGGACGGGUGAGGAAUACAUCGGAAUCUAAUUUUUCGUGGGGGAUAACGUAGGGAAAGUUACGCUAAUACAGCAUAUGACCUACGGGUGAAAGCAGUGGAUCUUCGGACCUUUCGCGAUUGAAUGAGCCGAUGUCGGAUUGGCUAGUUGGCGGGGUAAAGGCCCACCAAGGCGACGAUACGUAGCUGGACUGAGAGGAUGAUCGGCCACACUGGAACUGAGACACGGUCCAGACUCCUACGGGAGGCAGCAGUGGGGAAUAUUGGGCAAUGGGCGCAAGCCUGACCCAGCCAUACCGCGUGGGUGAAGAAGGCCUUCGGGUUGUAAAGCCCUUUUGUUGGGAAAGAAAAGCUGUAGGUUAAUACCCCGCUGUUCUGACGGUACCCAAAGAAUAAGCACCGGCUAACUACGUG